RNAcentral lists this ribosomal RNA (497 nucleotides) under uncultured bacterium. RNAcentral's name for it is "partial 16S ribosomal RNA". It matches the Rfam family "Bacterial small subunit ribosomal RNA", at positions 28 to 507 of the family's 1533-position model. The record is from RNAcentral.
GAUGAACGCUGGCGGCGUGCCUAAUACAUGCAAGUCGAGCGAACGGACGAGAAGCUUGCUUCUCUGAUGUUAGCGGCGGACGGGUGAGUAACACGUGGAUAACCUACCUAUAAGACUGGGAUAACUUCGGGAAACCGGAGCUAAUACCGGAUAAUAUUUUGAACCGCAUGGUUCAAAAGUGAAAGACGGUCUUGCUGUCACUUAUAGAUGGAUCCGCGCUGCAUUAGCUAGUUGGUAAGGUAACGGCUUACCAAGGCAACGAUGCAUAGCCGACCUGAGAGGGUGCUCGGCCACACAGGAACUGAGACACGGUCCAGACACCUACGGGAGGCAGCAGUAGGGAAUCUUCCGCAAUGGGCGAAAGCCUGACGGAGCAACGCCGCGUGAGUGAUGAAGGUCUUCGGAUCGUAAAACUCUGUUAUUAGGGAAGAACAUAUGUGUAAGUAACUGUGCACAUCUUGACGGUACCUAAUCAGAAAGCCACGGCUAACUACGUG